CCCAGCUCGUCAUGCUAGUGCACUUUUUCAAUGGGCUCCCCAACGACAAGGCAACGACGCAUUCGUAUGUCAUCCAUAUCAACUUUCGAUGCCACUUUCUGCGCCUACCAUGGUGACCAAUCAGGGUUCGAUUCCUGAGAGAUAGCCUGAGAAACGGCUACCACAUGCAAGGAAGGCAGAAGGCGCGCAAAUGACCCACUCACGACGCGGGGAGGUAGUGACG
Non-coding RNA from Pelobates cultripes (western spadefoot toad), 223 nucleotides. The record is from the annotation of a GenBank genome assembly. NCBI's taxonomy places the organism in Eukaryota, Metazoa, Chordata, Amphibia, Anura, Pelobatidae.